RNAcentral lists this long non-coding RNA (533 nucleotides) under Lactuca sativa (garden lettuce). RNAcentral describes it as "long non-coding RNA (LSAT_LNC007037)". Lineage: Eukaryota; Viridiplantae; Streptophyta; Magnoliopsida; Asterales; Asteraceae. The record is from RNAcentral.
GAAAUCGUAGAGGACUGUUUUCUUGAGGUCGGCCUCUGAAGCGUAGCACCUACGAGCGAUGGUCUUUUUGUCGGAUUGAGCAAGCCGACGAGUGAUUGAUUGCCCGAGUUGCCAUAGUCCUCCCCUCAUUGUCGUUUAUGCUUCCGAAACAAAGAAGCAUGUUAUCAGUAUAGGUAAGAAAAACCAAGUCUCAUGAAUUCAAGAUCACAUUUUGAUCUAAUAAAGUUGCAGCUUAACUGUUUGACAAAAAGCCUGAAAGAAAUGUGACAAGAAAACCCAUCCAUCCAUCCAAUUCCCAAUCAAGAAAGAUCCAAUUUUUAUAAUCUCAUUAACAAAUUUGUAAAAAGAUUCAAUCAAAGAAGCAGAUCUUUGACACAACCCACAAAGAAUUAACAUGAAACACAAAAGAAGAAAGAAAUGGAUUGAAAUUGAACUUACGAGUGGACUCAGGAGAGCUGCACCGUUUUUCUCUGUUGAGAAAAGCAAAUCUAGAUGGGGUUUUUGUUAGUGUUUUGCAAUUACUUUGUAAUUUU